UACGUAGGGGGCGAGCGUUAUCCGGAUUCACUGGGCGUAAAGGGAGCGCAGGCGGCGCGGCAAGUCCGGUGUGAAAGCCCGGGGCCCAACCCCGGGACUGCACUGGAAACUGCCGGGCUGGAGUGCCGGAGGGGUAAGCGGAAUUCCUGGUGUAGCGGUGAAAUGCGCAGAUAUCAGGAGGAACACCGGUGGCGGAGGCGGCUUACUGGACGGCAACUGACGCUGAGGCUCGAAAGCGUGGGGAGCAA
RNAcentral lists this ribosomal RNA (248 nucleotides) under uncultured Roseburia sp. Its description in RNAcentral is "partial 16S ribosomal RNA". It matches the Rfam family "Bacterial small subunit ribosomal RNA", at positions 524 to 771 of the family's 1533-position model. Lineage: Bacteria; Bacillati; Bacillota; Clostridia; Lachnospirales; Lachnospiraceae. The record is from RNAcentral.